GUCAGAGUGGUGCAGUGGUUUGAAUGUUGGACUAGACUCUGGAGAGAGGGUUCGAAUCCCAGCUCGGCCA
Molecule: non-coding RNA, 70 nt
Organism: Phrynosoma platyrhinos (Desert horned lizard)
Lineage: Eukaryota; Metazoa; Chordata; Lepidosauria; Squamata; Phrynosomatidae
Source: the annotation of a GenBank genome assembly